GACGAACGCUGGCGGCGUGCUUAACACAUGCAAGUCGAACGGUAAGGCCCUUCGGGGUACACGAGUGGCGAACGGGUGAGUAACACGUGGGUGAUCUGCCCUGCACUUCGGGAUAAGCCUGGGAAACUGGGUCUAAUACCGGAUAGGACCACUGCCUGCAUGGGUGGUGGUGGAAAGCUUUUGCGGUGUGGGAUGGGCCCGCGGCCUAUCAGGUUGUUGGUGGGGUGAUGGCCUACCAAGGCGACGACGGGUAGCCGGCCUGGGAGGGUGACCGGCAAUCCUGGGAAUGCGCUACGGCCCAGAGUCCUACGGGAGGCAGCAGUGGGGAAUAUUGAGCAAUGGGCGCAAGCCUGAUGCAGCGACGCCGCGUGAGGGAUGACGGCCUUCGGGUUGUAAACCUCUUUCAGCACCGACGAAGCGCAAGCGACGGUAGGUGCAGAAGAAGGACCGGCCAACUACGUGCCAGCCGCCGCAGUAA
Molecule: ribosomal RNA, 478 nt
Filed under: uncultured bacterium
Lineage: Bacteria
Description: partial 16S ribosomal RNA
Rfam family: Bacterial small subunit ribosomal RNA
Source: RNAcentral